GUCAUUUGAUGAUGAGAGCAAUGGAGACAUGUGUACGUGUCUAGAGUUGAAUAAGGAAAUUGAGAAUAAUUAUGAAGACGGAGAUGUUAAUCCUGUUGAAGGAAAACUUCCGCUAUCUCUCAUUUUCGACAAACACAUGGAAGAAUUAACUUUUGUAAAAAUUUAUUGUGGUCAAAAAAGAUAAUUUAAAGUAAAACUAAGUCAUGUGGACAUUACAAAAUCAGAAAUAGAUCGAAUAGAUCGUCAUGCUGUAUCCGUUUUCACUAUGACAGAUCAUGAAAGGGUAUUGUAAGGAUUGUAAUUAUAUCAAGAUCCAUAAUAUAAAAUGAUCAUGAAUGAAAACAUUUUUAUUUGUUAGAAAUACGAGAAAUAUUUGUUUUU
Long non-coding RNA from Aphis gossypii (cotton aphid), 381 nucleotides. RefSeq lists it as uncharacterized. Lineage: Eukaryota; Metazoa; Arthropoda; Insecta; Hemiptera; Aphididae. The record is from RefSeq and is a predicted model, not a curated record. The transcript is spliced from 3 exons.